UAAGAAAAAAACUGGUCCCAGCUCCUUUUAUAAGCAUGUGUGAACCGGUCUGGUUUAUCUGAACCGGACCGGUCCAUAUGAUUCCUCUUUCCCUUCUUUCUAAACCUUUAGAUCCUUCCUUUUUUUUAAUCUAACGGUCAUGCAUGUGCAAUCUAUGGUGGUACUUGGUACAUCUUCAGAUCUAGACUGUUUGAUUUUUAAUCUAACGGUCAGGGAUGAUUCUGUUUAGAUCACACGCGUGUUCCUUGCUUGCAGUAUUCCAUGUUCUGUUUGGUUUAACUGUUGGAUCUUAGAUCCUAGGGCUGUGAUGAGAUUUUGGGAUUCAGAUCUGGACCUCUGGAUUCAUCCAACGGCCCAGAUUUGAUCCUGCUGAGCCAAUGUUUUAUUAUUUCUUAUUUUUAAUUAUCUUUGUUUUUUUAAAUACUGUUUUUUACACUUUUUGACAUUUUUGUGUUUAGAAAAAUUCUAAAAAAUAUUUUUCUCACUAUUUUAAUUUUCUCUAAUUUUAAAAAUCCAUCCUAAUUGUUUCCUUUUAAUUUUUUUUUUUUAUCUAUUUCUUAUAUGAUGAUCUUAAUUAUUAUUUGUCUUAAUUCUUGCUUAUUAUUUCGUAUGUCUCAUUCAUCAUAAUAUUUCUUGUGAUUACUAACUAUUUAAUUUUUGUCUUGAAUCAUAGCAUGCACAUUUAAUUUUCUCAUCAUUUUACUUUGUCACUGACUUAGUGUGUAUAAAUAGGGGAUUGAUGUAAUUUUAUUUCUUGCAUUUUAUUUUGGCAUAAAGGCCUUAGGGUUGUAUUUAGGAAUUGAUGUAAUAACGUAGGUAACACAAGCACCGACACUAUCACACAUUUAUUUCCUUUAUCGCUUUCCGCUCAUUAUUCGUUAUGCCGUGCGUUAGUUUAGAAAAAUCUUUUUUUUUUAAAAAAAAUCAAAUAUGCAAAACUUCAAAAUCAUUUUCUUAAUAACAUUUUUUCCUUUAUUUUCUUAAUCAAACUCUCAAUCAAUCUUAAUUCAACUUCAAUCAUUUUCAAAAUUUAAAAUUAAUCAACCUCACUCAUUUCUUUUAUCUCAUGCCUUGAGGCCUCUUUCUAUUAUUAAAACCAUUUUCAAAAAAAAUCUUAAAACCAACCUAACCCACCAAAGAAAUUUUUUAGUGGAACUACGUCGGUUUUGAUCCCUUUCCCAAAAAAGGGUACGUAGGCAGAGGACUUGUCCUUCCAAAUCAAAUAAAAAUAACCAAAAACAUACUUCUUCUCCCUCCAUUCUUUCACUUAGAUUUUUAGGUAAUAAUUUUCAAAUAAACAAUGAAUUUAGCACAAGAUAAUCUAGGUAAGAGGUUCCUAUGGGAUACCAUAGACGCUUAGGGUGCUAGCACCUUCCCUUCGCGUAACC
Molecule: long non-coding RNA, 1388 nt
Filed under: Medicago truncatula (barrel medic)
Lineage: Eukaryota; Viridiplantae; Streptophyta; Magnoliopsida; Fabales; Fabaceae
Description: lncRNA gene23715
Source: RNAcentral